RNAcentral lists this ribosomal RNA (546 nucleotides) under uncultured bacterium. RNAcentral describes it as "bacterial SSU rRNA". It matches the Rfam family "Bacterial small subunit ribosomal RNA", at positions 772 to 1327 of the family's 1533-position model. The record is from RNAcentral.
ACCGAAUAGAUACCCUGGUAGUCCACGCCGUAAACGAUGGAUGCUAGCUGUUAGGAGUAUCGACCCUUCUAGUAGCGAAAGCUAACGCGUUAAGCAUCCCGCCUGGGGAGUACGGUCGCAAGAUUAAAACUCAAAGGAAUUGACGGGGGACCCGCACAAGCGGUGGAGCGUGUUCUUUAAAUUCGAUGAUAAGCGAAGAACCUUACCAGGACUUGACAUCCAGGGAAGCACUACGAAAGUAGAGUGUGCCUUUUGGAACCCUGUGACAGGUGCUGCAUGGCCGUCGUCAGCUCGUGUCGUGAGAUGUUUGGUUAAGUCCAUUAACGAGCGCAACCCUUAUGAAUAGUUGAAUUUUCUAUUCAGACUGCCCCGGUAACGGGGAGGAAGGGGGGGAUGAUGUCAGGUCAGUAUUGCCCUUACGUCCUGGGCUAGAAACGCGCUACAAUGGCCGGUACAAUGCGCCUUAAGCCAACCCGCGAGGGGAGCAAAUCGCAUCAAAGCCGGUCCCAGUUCGGAUAAGAGGCUGAAACUCGCCUCUUUGAAGCC